UGUCACAGACAUUUCUGAAUGAAGGAAGGUGUCACUUCUGUUUCCCAAGUAAAUGCUGUUGAUUCUUUUCAUAGACUUUGUGUGCUUAAAAUCAGAGUUUUUCCAUAGUCGGAUCACCAGUGUGGGGUCUCAGAAAUACUUGACAUUCUGAAGUGUUCGCGUGGAAGUUAAAGACCCGAAGCAUAUUCUAGAGAACAGGAACUGAGGCAGGACAGAAAUGAUUAGAUACAGCCCAACACGAGUUCACUGUCAAGUUCUGCUCCUGUCCCGGCUGUGUGAUCUUAGAAGGGCCACUGGACUUCUUUGUACCUCAGUUUCCUUGAAUCUAAAAUGAGGAAACUAAUUUUACUUCAGGGGGAGCCCCGUGAGGAUGGAUGGAAAGUGCCUGGUAUAUAGGAAGUGCUCAGAUAUCCAGGUAGGACGUCUGUGGGGAAACAAACAGUGAUGGCCCUGAUCAUCUGAGUGCCUCCCUCCAGCCAGAAGACCUGUGCACCAACUCUGUUAUUCACCACAUCUCCAAGGGAGGUUCCCAGCACUGGCCCACACCUUUCCCGGGCAGCUGGUGCCCAGACUUGGACACACUGUCCCUCGUCCUGUAAGGGUAUGCUCUCUCUGACCCUGUAACAGAGGGGAACAGUGGAGGUUGGGUCCAAUCACCUGGGGCCAAUGAUUUAAUUACUCUGUUGGAAUGCAAUUCCACGGUAUGUUUAACUGUGUCCCUGUCCAGAUCACCUCUGCACUGGGCAUUCGUGCAGCUUGCUGAGCCUUCUGCCCGUGAGUUCCAGCCUGUACCAAGUGAUGCUACCGGGCAUUUGCCAGAACCCUUUACUCAAUACCAUCUUCUCCAAGAGCUUGCCAGAGGCCACUGUUUGAAAAUCUGGGCUACACAGAUGAGCUCUGAGGCACACCUGUUCAACAGCUCUCACUACUCCAGUCUCCUGUGGACAUCACGCCUCUCGUUUUCUGCCACAUGUCCUAUCUGUAAAAACUGCUGAACACGCUCUAUUUCUACUCCCAAUUCCCUGGUGUGGGUUUCUCUCCAUACUGAGCAAUUCUCCGACACCAGCUGGGUGUCCUAAACUUCAACUCAAUUCUGACACCUUCUCCCUGGCAAUGUCAUCCCAUGCUUCAGGCAAUGCAUUGUGCGUUUUGUUUAUAUACAGGCAUGUUGACGGACUUUUACUCUCAACGCAAAUGAGACAGGAAACAUCACUCAGCGGACAGGUGUCAUCAUUGCUCUUGGAAAAUGAAAAGUGCCAAACUCUGCAUUGAUGCAACUGGAAGGCAAGUGAAGCAAGGUCUUAGACCCAUUUGCUGACAAAAGUUCCAGAAAACUGAUGGACACAGUCAUUCUUUAUUUGCAUGACAGAAAGAAUACCUUUUCUGCAGUAACUCCUUCCCUGGCUGGACUCUGGGGCUCAAAUUCCCUCCCAUUUAGAGCUGCCCAGUGGCUUUCCUGGGAUAUAUCUGUGUCUGGAGUGGUGGAGCGGAUCAGGGCUUUCUUCCCUAAGCCCCAGCUUUGCAUGCCCAAAGCCACAGACUUCUUUUCGGUAAGACCAAUGAGCAGGAAUUCCUAGGGCCCUGAGAAGUACUUCUUUUUCCAGUUCUAACUACUGGUGGAUUUGGGCUGGCUCUCUGGGUCAUGCAUUAGCCAAAAGAGAGAGACAGAGACAGAGACAGAGACAGAGACAAUCCAUCCCUUUGGGGAGUCCUGAACACCCGCCCGAUUAGCUGUUUGCUGACAGUAGAUCCUUCAGAGGAACCAUUCAGAUCUGAGAGAUGCCCAGCUUCCCCGUGUCCCCAUGCCACGGCCCACCUAGAAAGCCAGGUCUGACAGGUGAGGGAAUCAAUGACACUCCAGCUGCCUCCGAGGUAAUCCUCGAGGAGAGACUUGCCAGGUGGACACUGAUAAAGAAGACAGAUGACUGAGUGCCUGACUCCACAGUCAUCAAUAAACGCUGACAGUUGGUGCAGAAGAACCAAGUUGCCAGAGAAAGAGGAGCUGCAGGGGGAGGUCUGCAGCUAACUGUGCAGGCACAGGCCAAUCACUUGCGUGUUCACCUGGUGUCACUGACGUCACGCGUCCUCAGAAGGAGGGCAUGGCGUCCCCAUGCCUCCAAUACUGACCGGGAAGUCAAAACUAAGCAAAAUAAAACUUGCUUCAUAUUUUUAGCUCCCAAAGCCACUGAAGGCUGGAACAUUGAAAUGACUCCAGUUUAUACCCCUUGGCAAAAAGUGUGCUGCAUAUUUUAGAAAAUCCCUUAUUGUUUGCAGAAAUUGUGAAAGAACACCCAAUUUGUGGCUAUUUCUAAAUGUGCUCCUAUGCCAUAGUUAGAGGCAUCCUCCGGAGUAAGCUGCCUGAUGCCAAUCAGGAGUAGACCUGAAGCAUUUUUCUUAAUUUUAGCAAUAACUGAUACAAAAGCUCAAACCACACUCUCAACAUUUUAUCAUCAGUUGGUAAAGCAUCCACAAGACAAGGCAUUCUUGUUAUCUCUUCUCCCACUCACGGUUGUCGGUUCCCCGCCUCCUGGCCUGUGGGGAAACGUAUGGCAGGAGGAAAGUGAGGGGCCUCGCUGAAUGUGCUUCCCAGGCUGCGGUGUGAAUCGAACAAGGUGACAGAUUCACACUGGAGGCCAUAAGCUCCAGUGUCCUACCCAUGCUGUUCGUUAGCAGUAGGAGUGCUUUUUCUAUCAUGCCAAAACUGGAAUGUCUUUCCUGAGCUCCCCAGCCUGGGUGAACCUAUUCUAGAAUGUUCUGUGUGCCCCUCCAUCAGAGCACUGUUCUCACUGCAUUAUCAUUGUCCACCCCCACCCCCACCCCGAAGGAAAACAACAUAACUUACAGAUCCUUUGAGCCACAGUGCCAGGAAAGGGUGGGUGUUUUAAGUGCUUCAGAUAAAGACAGACUGGAGGAAUGAGCAAAGGAAACAUACAAAUGUGAAGAGACCCUCCUGUUUCCUAGUCCAGGGGGGCAAGCGGGCAGACUGUUGUUCUCAUGAGACUUGGUCAGUGGAGAUUCAGCUGUCCUUCCCUGCGGAAGGCCCUCCCAUAGCAACAUCACUGUGGAAAAGGGACUUGCUCGUUCCUGCAGAUUCCCUCACACGCACAGCACAGGGGAGGAUUACUCUCUCGGGGUAUCCCUUACUGCUUUAGUCAAUCCGGGUGCUCUGUUUGAAAUCCAGCACAUGAGAAGGUCUGGGUAAAGUUGCUGGGAUGGAAGAAAACCUUGGUAUUGACUUAAGAUGGUGGUGUGCCAGAGCCAGCUCAUACUGGAGGGAGAGUGAGACAGAGAGAGACACAGACAGAGAGAAUUGCUAAAUUCCCAGGAAUUUCACUAACCAGUUGAUAUCAUGCUGCUAUCUUGACAUUGGCAAUGGUUGGCAGUAAUCACCCCCUGAAAAUUGGUCACUGCUGCAACUGAGACCUCUUCUUUCCUUCCAGGGUGCUUGUUGUUAAAUAUUUACCAACACACCCCUAACUUAAGGUUGCAUUCAAGUGUGGAAUUCACGAUUUUGCUGGUGCUUUCUGAAUUAUAUUCUUUUCUCCUCCUCCCAAGGUGCCUUUGAAUUCCACCCCAUCUGCUCUUUGUGUGUACUUCUGGAGAAAUCCUAGUGUUAGGUUCACAGAAGUCAAAGCAAUAGACUGUUUGUUUGUACAAA
Leopardus geoffroyi (Geoffroy's cat) is the source of this 3658-nucleotide long non-coding RNA. RefSeq lists it as uncharacterized. The transcript is spliced from 2 exons. The record is from RefSeq and is a predicted model, not a curated record. NCBI's taxonomy places the organism in Eukaryota, Metazoa, Chordata, Mammalia, Carnivora, Felidae.